This 253-nucleotide ribosomal RNA is filed under the name uncultured bacterium. Its description in RNAcentral is "partial 16S ribosomal RNA". It matches the Rfam family "Bacterial small subunit ribosomal RNA", at positions 524 to 776 of the family's 1533-position model. The record is from RNAcentral.
UACGUAGGGGGCAAGCGUUAUCCGGAUUUACUGGGUGUAAAGGGUGCGUAGGUGGCAGGGCAAGUCAGAUGUGAAAGCCCGGGGCCCAACCCCGGUACUGCAUUUGAAACUGUCCAGCUGGAGUGCAGGAGAGGUAAGCGGAAUUCCUAGUGUAGCGGUGAAAUGCGUAGAUAUUAGGAGGAACACCAGUGGCGAAGGCGGCUUACUGGACAGUAACUGACACUGAGGAGCGAAAGCGUGGGUAGCAAACAGG